CCCCAAUUAUGAAUUAUAAAUCAAUUAUCCAAUUAUCCCAAUUAUUAUGCCUACUGAAUUGUUAACAGGAAUUCUCAAAUGCCAAAAGUCCUUUUCCAAGUGAUCAAUUGCCUUCUAUUUAAUCCAGAUUAAUUUUGCUAUAUUCCUAUGCAAAACAAUUGAAUUAAACUCGUUACAAUCCCAAUUCCUUAUGUGUUACAUGCGGCGAAAAGAUAUUUCCAUUCUAUUUACAAACCUAAU
RNAcentral lists this long non-coding RNA (240 nucleotides) under Panax ginseng (ginseng). Its description in RNAcentral is "long non-coding RNA (PGIN_LNC003486)". Lineage: Eukaryota; Viridiplantae; Streptophyta; Magnoliopsida; Apiales; Araliaceae. The record is from RNAcentral.